Molecule: transfer RNA, 74 nt
Filed under: Camelus bactrianus (Bactrian camel)
Lineage: Eukaryota; Metazoa; Chordata; Mammalia; Artiodactyla; Camelidae
Also listed under: 1 other name
Rfam family: tRNA
About the family: Transfer RNA (tRNA) molecules are approximately 80 nucleotides in length. Their secondary structure includes four short double-helical elements and three loops (D, anti-codon, and T loops).
Source: Rfam by way of RNAcentral
GGGAGUGUACGGCUCAGGGGUAGAGCGCGUGCUUAACAUGCACAAAGUCCUGGGUUCAAUCCCCAGCGCCUCCU